UAAUACCAGCCCCUCGAGUGGUAGGGACGAUUAUUUAGCCUAAAGCGUUCGUAGCCGGCUUAGCAAGUCCCUCGUGAAAUCCGAUGACUUAAUCGUCGGGCGUGCGUAGGAUACUGUUAAGCUUGGGGACGGGAGAAGUCGACGGUAGUCCCGGUGUAGGGGUGAAAUCCUAUAAUCCCGGGAGGACCACCAGUGGCGAAGGCGGUCGACUAGAACGCGCCCGACGGUGAUGGACGAAAGCUGGGGGAGCGAACCGGAUUAGAUACCCGGGUAGUCCCAGCUGUAAACGAUGCUGGCUAGGUGUUGGGGCAGCCACGAGCUGCUCCAGUGCCGCAGGGAAGCUCUUAAGCCAGCCGCUUGGGAAGUACGGUCGCAAGGCUG
RNAcentral lists this ribosomal RNA (381 nucleotides) under uncultured archaeon. Its description in RNAcentral is "bacterial SSU rRNA". It matches the Rfam family "Archaeal small subunit ribosomal RNA", at positions 471 to 851 of the family's 1478-position model. The record is from RNAcentral.